This is a long non-coding RNA of Anguilla rostrata (American eel), 3423 nucleotides long. RefSeq lists it as uncharacterized. NCBI's taxonomy places the organism in Eukaryota, Metazoa, Chordata, Actinopteri, Anguilliformes, Anguillidae. The transcript has 3 exons. The record is from RefSeq and is a predicted model, not a curated record.
ACCGGGUUAAUGUCAACAGGCAUUUCGGACUAAUGAGUGCGAUGCUCUGAACAAGGAAAGUGCAUCAAAAUUCACUCUAUAAGGAAAUAUCCGCAUAACCCCUAGUGAUGGUUUAACAUGUAAAACUGGUUGUAUAUUAGAAACAAAUUUUGAAUUGUCCCAUCAAUUAACAACGAUGAAUUAAAGAGACCAUGUUUCGCUGUAAACCAGGCUCGCAGUUAGCAUUUCCACCCUUGACUCAGGAAAAAAGUUCCGGUUUUAUGCUCUUUUCCCCCUUUUUCUUUUUUCGACGACCAUAUUUAAUUACCCCUUUCUUCAGCAUAUCACUCCCUGCAGCAGGAUUCGUAGAAAAGAAAACUAUAGAUCACAAUUUGUGGACUUGGGGAUGAAGGUCUCACCAAAAACUGCUGUGAUAACAGAUCUCAGUGAACUUUGCAUCCAGGAUUUAGGGUCGCAACUCAGGCUAAUUGAUGAAUAUGACAAAAGCCUUGCUGAAGUCAUCUGUUGGUUUGAACAAAGACUACAUGGAGUGUGCAAUAAGAUUGAGCAGCUAAAAACUUAAUACAGUGGUUUCUCAGCAAAUGCACAGUGCAGUCAUAUAUAGCUAACUUUUCAAAACAUUUAUGGAAUUUAUGGGGAAACUGACAACAUAUUGCAACCCCUAUGGACUCCCAAAUACUACACUUUCAUUCACAGCACAUAAAUUCUGUGAAGCUGUAUGGGUUUUUAAAUUUUUUUUAUUUAUACCUUAAGCAAGACUACACGCUUGGCUGGACAAAACUCCCUCUGGACUCCAUCCCAGGAUUUUACAAGAACAAUCUUUCCAAACUGGUCAAUUGCAAAUUACUUGCACAAGAAAACAACACUGCAAUAGCACUGAGGGGUUCUGGGACAGAGAUGAGCAAAUGUUUCCUAAUAGUGGACAGAGAGCAUAAUGAUACUUGUCCAUCCCAACCAGGUCCAUUGAUGUUGAAAGAUUAAUUUCUUUAUGGAGACAAGUUUACACCAAGCGUCUUCAAGUAGUGACAGAGGACACUGUUAAAAAAUGACCACAUAGUUUAAACCAUACAUCGUAGUUUAAUUUCAGUUCAUCUGUUAUCUCUGUAAAACUGUUUUAAUCUUCAUUUUUAUUAGCCUACCCUUGCUGCAAACCAUAGAAUUUUUAUGAAUAGCUCUCUGUGAUUGGAAUUAUAUAAUUGCAAGUUGUAAUGCCAGCAUGCUACUUCCCGCAGAGGAAAAAUGAAACAAUAUAACACAGCACUAUCAAAACAUUGCUGUCAAUUAUCAUUAAGUAACAGAUGAGUUAUCAACAUGGAUGAUUGGGGAGGUGGAGUGUGAUAACUGUCCAACAUGUGUGAUCAAAGAAGGCUCUACUGACCUCAUGCUAAGGCAUGACUGAAAUGUAUGUAAGAAAUCUGUUUAGGAAAACUGCUAACCCUAACUAUACAAUACCAAUGGGAUUUCAGGAAAUUGGAUAUGAAGAUAAUGUAUUUCGACGUCAAAUGUUGAAGCACAUAAUUAUGUUAUAUGGGUAAUAAAUGCAAAUGAAAAAGGAAAAAAGAUAAUUACUGAUCUAUUGUAAAUUGCUCAAUUAAAAGAAAAGCCCGAGAUCUACUGCCUCCCAGUGCCAGUAACAUCAGCAGUCUCAUUUUCAGGUGCUGCUCUGGGAUAUUGUUCCCAUGACAACACCGAGUAGCUGAAUACCCCACCUUGUUCUUCUGCUUUUAUGAAGAUGCAUUACUAAAUCUCUGUAUGUGCCUAAUUAAUACUGGGAGAAAACAAUGUACCAAUGUAAGUGUGGACAGCUAAAGUUUUUGUGUAUUUUGAACAUAAUUAACCUUGUUUUUUCUAACUUUGGCAAAUAUCCUCUGCAAAACACCACAUAAGAAAGGGAAAGAAAGGGACGGUCGAGGAAACGACUCAUUAGAUAGCACAGUUUUCAUGCAUUAAGUACAGAGGUCCAGCUAUGAAUUUUGAACUGGUGUAUGUGUGCUCUUGAUUUCUGUCUUGGCCGUGCCCACAAUCCUGAAAAGUAGACAGCAAAAAAUUCCCAUGACUUCAGCCAACUCAGGGUACUUAGAGGGCUAUCUGAUGUUCUCAAGUAAUGACGAUACCUCCUAGGGAUGAUGCGCUGAGAGGAAGCCAGUGCUGUCUUUGCUCAGGAAACAUCUGGCUGAUGCUCCAGUUCUUAAACAGCUGUGGUGAAGAGGAGCAGGAAAAGUGAACCUGCCGCUGGUUCAGAGAUCUCACGUUUGAUGUGUGCUACGGGGGACCCAUGUUCAACAACCCGGCCAGCCACUCGUCACACCUCCAGGCUGAAUCACGGACACUCCGGACCUGUCUCCUGGCAACAGAGAUCUUUGGAAUUAUACCAUUAUGUAGACAACUUGACAUGAAUUAGGCGAUAUAUAUAUAACUGUUGUAUUAUGAUUAAGUAAGCAAACAUUUUGUCAUAUGAAAGCAAGAUGAUUGCUUUGCAGUGAAAAACACAGGGAAGCCAUUAAUGUAUCUGGGGAAAUUGGUUGUAAUGGCUCAAAUUUAACACUAAUUGAUGUGAUCACCAUGUUGCUGCAUUUGCAACUAAAAGCUAUUUCUGCAUCUACUUUUUAUGAAAGCCCUGUUUCAUUUGUAAGCUUAAUUUGUAAUUGUUAUUUUUGUCACAUGUGGCUGUUUAGGGAAAUGCACGAGCAGGAGCCAUUUAACAUCAGCGCCAUUCCUUUCAGUGACAUUGAUUCAAAGCAACAGUCAUGUUUGGUUGUCAUGCAAUCGGUCAGCAAAAUAUGAUUAAACUUGAGAUAUCCAUUUAUCAAAAUUGAAAACAUUGAGGCUGGAACUGGAACCUCCCAUUUUAUUUUUCUGCCUUGAGUAAUCACGUUGAAACUUGGCACCAUUGUUUGGAACAGAGAACUGCUUUAAUUAAUCAAAUAAGUGCUGAGUGACCUGCACACCAUGUGGCUUUCCAGGACUAGGGUCAGAAACCCCUGAUCGCAGGAUUACUGUGCCAAGCUCAGGUCUCUGCUUAUUACUGCCUGACCUGCCCAGCUGUUCGGUGCAUUGACAACCCUUGGUGUGAGAAACAGUACUUACUGGUAACAGUGCAAGUUCCAUCUUCUACUCAUUUAAACUUCUGCCCUCUUGUUCUUCUGACUGAACUCAACCUGAAAUACCCUGUUGGCCUUUCUGACUACUGUGGCACAAUGUGUAGUCCUGAUAACGAUAGCGAUCAGGAACUGAUAGUCAGCUUUUGCACUAUAUAACUUGUAAGGUGUAAGGAUCUUCGCAUCUUUGCUUUCCUACCAUGUAAAUUUCUGAUCUUAUCCCUAUCUGUAACCUACUCUGCUUUCCUCCUGUCUGAAUAAAAGGGAAAAAUACAUAAUGAGGGCAGACUUUCUGUAUUUCUUUUAAUCAUGUCGCUGUGCAUUU